UACGUAGGGGGCGAGCGUUGAUCGGAAUUACUGGGCGUAAAGGGCGCGUAGGCGGCGCAACAAGUCAGUUGUGAAAUCUUCAGGCUUAACCUGAAGCGGCCAAGUGAUACUGUCGUGCUAGAGUGCGGAAGGGGCAACUGGAAUUCUUGGUGUAGCGGUGAAAUGCGUAGAUAUCAAGAGGAACACCUGCGGCGAAGGCGGGUGGCUGGGCCGACACUGACGCUGAGGCGCGAAAGCUAGGGGAGCGAACGGG
This 253-nucleotide ribosomal RNA is filed under the name uncultured bacterium. RNAcentral describes it as "partial 16S ribosomal RNA". It matches the Rfam family "Bacterial small subunit ribosomal RNA", at positions 524 to 776 of the family's 1533-position model. The record is from RNAcentral.